ACAUUAGUUCAAAAAAAGAAAAAGAAAACCACUACUGGAGUGGUAAAAGAAGAAAAAAUUUUACUGAGCAAAUCCCCAAUUGCAUCAUCUUUGGUUUCAGUGAAUAACUGUGAGUCCCAAACUGGCAGCCUUUUUACUUAGAAAUGAGGUUUGGCAAAUCCAGAGAACUGGCUUUCCACCAAGAUGGAGGGGACCGAAUUCUGCUCCCGUAUUCACUUUUGAGGCGUUUCCAAGGAGUGAAGCUUCUAUUUAGCCUGUCUCCCACCAUCUGAAGCCCCUUAGGAAGGAGUCAGCUUUGGGUGACUGCUCCCUCUUGUCCCACCUGGAGCCUGACGCUGCUGAGGCCCAAGGGGCAGAGCCCGGGUGCAGACCUACCCGCCAGCCCCAAUCAGGUCUCCCUCUUGUUGACACCAGGACUUGUUUCAGAAGAUGGCCCCAUGGCCCCUCCACCCAGCCUAGUGAAGAGCUGUUCAGAUCCCACUUGCCCUGGAACAGAAGCGGCUCUUCCUGACUCAGCCAAGGGUCUGACACCGCGGGGCUUGGUGCACAGCUCACCACCCUGGCCUGGCUGACCUUAGCAAGUUCUCAUGGACAGAUGGAGAUGGCUGUUGAUCAGGGCUUCCAGACUGCGGGACCAGCAGAGAUCAUGUCCAGCUGGGAGAAAUUAAGCCAAACUAUCGGCAUUGCCCCAACCCGAAGCUUAGGACCUGUUCUGAAAUGAAGAGACUUGUAGGCGAGCAAAUCACACACUUUCCAAAAGGCACAGACUCUGAAGGGCACCUCAUUGUAGCUGAGCUGGGUCCAACCAUCAGACCGAGGGGUGCUCCUUGUUACUGAUGUUUUAUCGACAUGAGGUGGAAUCUAAUUUGUCCCUGCUCAUCCAGCUAUGUAAAUGUUCUCUGAUGUCUGAGGACGAGGUAGCCUGGAUCCACUGCCAUAAUCAUCUACUCAACAUUUUCAAGGAGAGAGGCCAAGGCUGCAAAGGCAGUUUAUUACAUACAUUGGCCUCUGCACUUAUUUGGGUGAAAUCAUUUUCUAAUGUAUGAGUCUUUGCCUUAGAACCUGAAAUUGUGGUAAGUUGUUCACUUGAUUUUGUAAUUAUCCGGAGUGGGUCGCAUGCCCACUGGAGCCUGGGAUGGUCAGGUCCACCCAUCAAAUUAAUUGAAUCCAGAAUGGGAAAAAAUGGAGCAUCACUGAAGGGGAUGCUGGCCAGACAGGGUCAGCAGGGGACCCUCUGAAGCUGGCAGGAUGUGGCCCGGUGCUUUUGACCUCAUGCUCCGCAACCUCCCAGGCAGAUGCCAUUGAGGACUCAUUGAGAACUGACUCUGGACCAGGACCUAUGCUAAGCACUGCUGAGGAUGCACAGUAAGCAAGAUGUGGUCCUGAUGCUUACAGAUCUGGGUUUCUUGCAUGGCUCAUACUCACAUUCCUAUCAUGGGCCACAAGCCGGGAGUGAAAUGGCACCUUUCUUCUCGCUGGAACCACCUCAUUUCCUCUUUCCAGCAAAGAGGGAUGGAGAAACCUGCCCCAUAUGGGAGAAGGCAUCAUAUACCCACUGAGAUAACAAAUGUCCUGUGACCUGUGGAGAAGGGCAGUUUCAAGGACACAACAGCCUCUGAUCCUGGUGAGUGGGCCGGGGCUGAGGGUGGCGGCACAGAGAAUAGCCGGGCUCAUCCAGUGUCCUGGUCUCUGUGUCCAGGGCUGCCCCCACCCCAGUCAGCCAGGGACCAGCCAUGGCCAUGGGCAGGGCCACAGCGGGGGUUCCCCUGACUGUCGGUUUUCAGUUCCACCUUAUGUCAAGCAUAUUUGAUUGUUUAAAAAUCUUUUUUUUUUUCUUCCAAUGAACUUGCUCAUGCUCUUUGAACUUCAAGAUGGAAAAAUCAAAGUCUGAAUGGGUGAGUUUCCCAGGAAUUCCUGACCUGCUUUUGUGGAAACUGGUUCUUGCUGGAAGGACAAACUCCUUCCAGGGUCUCUACACACAGGUGCUGGCACAAGCAUCCAGAGGCUGGGUACCUGGGGCCCCCCCCAAAAGUCAGUGCAUGAGCAGUCCCGUGCAGCCCCACCCUCGGCUGGGUUUUGUUCGCAGUGUCCAGAGAGACACUGUAGGUCUCAGGCAGGGCCUGCCAGGUCCCUCUCUUCCUGUCCUGCUCCUCCACCUCCCCAUGCCUGCAGCACAGCCCUCGGAUCUCUCGGGCCUCAGUCAGGGGACCCUGGGGGACAGGGACCCAGAGUCCCAUUCAUCUUGGAGUGAGCCCUAGCAACUGGUUUCCUUGCUGCCAACCAGGUAGCUGGGUCUAUGUGUGUGAGCCAUUGCCUGGACAGCCCCACGUCCCCCUGCAGCUACACCUGGAAGCUCUAACCUGGCCUGUCCUUGAUGCCAUCGGCACAUCCUUGUCCUCACUGUGCCUUCCUGCCUUCCAAGGCCAGAGCCAGGCAUCUGACCUCCCUCCUGCCUGUUACACCAUUAAUGGACUUUGUAACCCCAGAUGCUUCUCUCCCAGAGAGAAAAAUUAAUUUUCACAUUUUGUGAUUUCCUUUGAUAGAAUUGACUCUUCAUAUCACACCCACACACUCACAGUUCAAGAUGGAGCCAGGAAACAGACUGGCCAGAAAGGUUCAGGACUCAAAGCCCCAAAGCCACCUUGCAUCAGCCAGGUGGUGGGGCCCAUAGGUGGGAAUUUGCCCACUUCCUGCUCAGAGGGGAUCAAAUCGCUGCUCUGAAUUAGAGCACAUUUUGCCUUUGCGAGACUUCUGGGCACUGCGUUUCUGCAUGUGAGAUAGAGGUGGCCAGGGCUCUGGGUUGGGGUCGUUCGCCCUCUCAUAUACACCUGCUCCAUGGGCUUCCCAUGGGAUCAGGAGAAAACAGGAGCUUGGCAUGUGGUGUGUGCUCGUGGUAGGGACACUAUGGGUCAGUUCCAGAAGUCACAAUAAAGCGAGUCACAUUUUUUGGUUUCCCCAGGCAUAUCAAAGUUAUGCUUAUGUUAUACUCUAGUCUGUGAAGGGUACAAUAGCAUUAUGGCUAAAAAGACAAUGAAAAAUACUUUAUGCCUCAAAAACACUAACCAUCCCCUGAGCCCUCAGCCAGUCAUAAUCUUUUGCAAUAGUAACAUCAGAACUCCUGAUCACCCUAACACCUGUAGUAAUAAUGAAAAGGUUUGCAAUAUGGUGCAAAUUAAAGAUGUGACACAGAGGGAGUUCCCGUUGUGGUGCAGUGAAAACGAAUCCAACCAGUAUCCAUGAAGAUGCUUGUUUGAUCCCUGGCCCCACUGGUUAAGGGUCCGGUGUUGCCGUGAGCUGCAGUACGAGUCACAGACAUGGCUUGGAUUUGGUGUUGCUGUGGUGUAGGCUGGCAGCUACAGCUCCAGUUCAACCCCUAGCCUGGGAACNNNNNNNNNNNNNNNNNNNNNNNNNNNNNNNNNNNNNNNNNNNCUAAAAAGACAAAAAAAAAAAAAAAAAAAAAAAGUGACACAGAGACAGAAAGUGAGCAAGUGCUGUUGGAAAAAUGGCUCCGAAAGACUUGCCCGGCACAGGGUUGCCACAACCUUCAAUUUGUAAAAAAGGCAACAUCUGCAAAGUGCAAUAAAUUGAGGUUUUGUCUAUGUACACUCGGGCACGCGCGCGCGUGCACACACACACACUCCACAGCAGACAUGUUAAUGCACAGAGUUCUGGAAGCAUACAAGCCAAAGGGUUAGGCAUUGGGUUUGCAGGAGGAGGUAAAGACACCAUGUGAGGUAUCUGUGCAGUACUCACAUAAUUUUAUUUUUGUAUUUUUUAUGGCUGCAUCCACACAUAUGGAAGUUCCCAAGACAGGGACUGAAUCUGAGCUGCAGCUGUGACCUAUGCCACAGCUGUGGCAACUCCAGAUCCUUUAACUCACUGCACUGACCUGUGCCUGGGAAGCGACCUGAGCUGCUGUGGUCAGAGUCUAGGAAGAAUGAUAAAUUUAAAGGCGGGAGCAGCUCUGGUGAAGGGUCCUCCUCUUGCAGGGCCUCCUGCCUGCACUUCCCUUCCUGGAGCCCUCCAGGCUCUCCAGCCUGGCCGUCUCCCUCCAUCCCAGGCACCUUCCUUCUCCCUGACCUGGGCUGACUCAGUGUCCAGUCCUCUCUGCAACUCCAUUCUGAAUCAGGGACGCCUUUCUGCCCUGGCAGCAGUCUCCUCCCAAACCAGUUAACACAGGCAAGAAAAAAGUAAUUCCACAAUUGGUUGCAGUUCUCUGUGAAGGUAUAAAUUAUACAUGACGCUGUGACAUUUGCAGCAGACUGCCACGUUGAUUUGGUUUUUGUCUGUGGUGGUGGUUUUAUCAAUGAGCUUUUCUUCCUGAGCAACUGCAGAUUCUGUUUUGUGCAAAUGAUUGAAGACAUUCUGGAAAUUUCUUUCUUUUUGAAUUAUCCACUCUAUCCAGACAUCCUAAAUCUUUGAGACAAAACAAAUACAGCACACGCCCAUGCUCACACAUGCGCGCACGCGUGCGCGCGCACACACACACACACACACACUUUGAAUUUCUGUCAGGCCCAGAGAGUCUCAGGGUAAAUGAGCCAAUUUGUUUUCAUUUAAAUAUGAAAGUGAGAGAAGGAAACGCAAUGAAUGAGCACAGGAGAACACAGAGCUGUAAGCUGGAAAAACCCAAAGAUGAAUUUGUCACGUCUCUCAUGAUAAAUGACGGCGAUGCAAUUAAACAGAGGCAGCCCAGCGACCAUGAACACCCCAGUGCAUUGUGUUUUGAUCUGUAGGGCAGGUACCCUCAUGUUUCCUGUCAUAGACUCUAAACAUCACAAGUCUUGGGGGGAGGGGUGCCCUGGUGCCCAGGAUGCUGAGUUAUGCCAGGGGGACAGAAAAGUGGGUCAGUGGGUCACCUGUGCAGACCUGGCCAGGAACGAAGUUUGACUCAUGUGAGCCUAGCACUCCCUGAGUCCAGGCGGCGGAUGGUGGAGCCCCGGAUGGGGGCGGCUGGAAGGGAGACGCCGCAUCCUAGGGGUCAGAGGAGCUCCCAGGAAAACCCAGGUUCAGGUGGUGAUGCCACAGACAUCCGUGGCCCGGAAGACAGGAGAGGGCACGUAUGUUUGGAGCUCAGGACAGUGGAGCAUCCACAUUUGGAGAGCUUGCUGCAUUGCUGGAGACUCUGUGCACACAUUGGAGCUGACUUGUGAGCAAGCAGACAGAUCAAGGCCUUUCAGAACUGCGAGGGCACUUGGGAGUUUAUUGAGCUCAACUUCCUUUCCCAAGCAGGAAUUCCCUCCCCAGGACCCUGGAUGGCGGGUCUGAACAUCCAGUUCCACCCAGAGUCACGAAGUGGGUGCUCAGGUGUACAUGGGUUCCUUCCUGAAAAAAAAUCCUGCUGAGGGUUCAAGGUCCAGGUGGAUGGGUGGAUCCUUUGGACCGAGCAACGCCCCUCCCUCUCCUGCGUCCUGUGCCUGCAGCCCCUGCACAGCCUUCCUGUACAGACACCAUCCUUCUCGGGACAAGUAUGUAUGGGUGACUGCCCUCCUCCAUGGAAACCCAUGACGGGGUUCAAGGCCUGCUUAGACGACACAGAUAUUGGUUCCCCAACCCCAAGUGCCCACCACCUGUUGGUCCUGCUCCUGCCUUCAGAGCCACAUCCUUCCCCUUCCUCUUGAACCUAGAAUCCACGGAGGGCACACCCAGGGUCUCCCGGUCACUCAGCGGCACGGGGGCAUGAGGAAGGGGGUCCCUCUGGGACAUGGAUUCUGGCACCUUCAGCAUCCUGGUCCCCUUCUGCUCUGGCCAUGCCUCCUUGUAAUUUCCCAGGUCUAACCCAUGCGUGGAUGGACUGGCAGGGCCAUUGCCUUCGUGCAGUGAGCACUUGGUCUAACUCCAGGAGCACAGAUUGCUGUUUUUCAAACAAGCCAGGAACAUUUAAAGCUCCGGGGUCAGGUUUGGACUGAAACAAUGUAAGCAGUUUUUGUGAUUUUCCAGGACAGGUUAAGAUGCACCAAGUCCCAGGAGCGGGGCGUCGUGGCCCAGGCAAGGAGGACCUGAGCAUGGACGCCACCAGGUGGCGGUCUCGGGUCCAGGGCCGCAGGAGAACGUGCACCCCCUGUUGGCGAUGGGUCAGGAUGGGACCCGGGCUUGCCUCCUGCAUGGCCCCUGCUCAGAGAAGAGGGCCCCAAGCUUCCUGCUCUGAGCCCAGGAGCUGAAGCCUCUGAGGACCCCCACAGGCCCUGCACUGAGGGCAGCGACUCCUCAUCUUCUGGCCUACGUGUGUCUUUGGAAGGUGAUCUCAGAGCUCUUGCUGGAGAAUUUGCCUUUUCCUGUGCUCACCCCCUGCUUUUGCUCUUUCCUGGACUGCAAGUGGCAGAGCUUAAGCUGCAGCUUCCUUAUAGCUGUUGCCUCUGCAGUUCCUGCUCAUGGUCCCCAGGGAGCAGUGGGCUUUGGGAAGGCCUUGCCAGCUUCCAGAACACCGACAUCAGGCAGGAGAGCAAGUACCUGGCAUACCUCCUCUCCACUGUUGUUAUUCCUUCUGGGAAAAAAAAAAAAAAAA
RNAcentral lists this long non-coding RNA (6505 nucleotides) under Sus scrofa (pig). RNAcentral's name for it is "lncRNA (ENSSSCG00005011054.1)". The record is from RNAcentral. Lineage: Eukaryota; Metazoa; Chordata; Mammalia; Artiodactyla; Suidae.